AGUACCUCAUAAGAUGAAGGCCUUUACUAAUAUUCUAAUCAUUCUCCUUAUUUUCUCCAUUGGCAUUGGGAAUGAAAGGCUAAUGAAAAUAACAGAGGCAGCCUCAAAGCCUUGUACAGCGACACUUGACAGUGUAGUUAUAUGUGUAUUUACUUGGCGGUGCAUACAAGCUUGCAAAAGCCAUUAUGGAAGGCUAGCAAGUGGAUCUUGCAUUGGUGGCCUAUGUGUUUGUCAGUAUCCACCUCCAUGUCACAAUUUGUAGUCCAUCUUUGCAAUAUUUUUUCCCUUUGAAUAAAUCUUCCAAUGCAAUAAUGGAAAAUGAAAAGGUUAAUAUAUAUAAAUAGAUCAUGUUUUUAUGAA
Long non-coding RNA from Arachis duranensis, 360 nucleotides. RefSeq lists it as uncharacterized. The record is from RefSeq and is a predicted model, not a curated record. Lineage: Eukaryota; Viridiplantae; Streptophyta; Magnoliopsida; Fabales; Fabaceae. The transcript is spliced from 2 exons.